UAUGUAGGCGGGCUUCUAAGUCAGGUGUGAAAUCCCAUGGCUCAACCAUGGAAUUGCAUUUGAAACUGGAAGUCUUGAGUGUGGGAGAGAUUGGUAGAAUACCUGGUGUAGUGGUGAAAUACGUAGAUAUCAGGUGGAAUACCGGUGGCGAAGGCGGCCAAUUGGCCCAACACUGACGCUGAGAUAGAAAGCGUGGGGAUCAAACA
Molecule: ribosomal RNA, 206 nt
Filed under: uncultured bacterium
Lineage: Bacteria
Description: partial 16S ribosomal RNA
Rfam family: Bacterial small subunit ribosomal RNA
Source: RNAcentral